GAGUUUGAUCCUGGCUCAGGACGAACGCUGGCGGCGUGCUUAACACAUGCAAGUCGAACGGAAAGGCCCUUUCGGGGGUGCUCGAGUGGCGAACGGGUGAGUAACACGUGGGUGAUCUGCCCUGCACUUUGGGAUAAGCCUGGGAAACUGGGUCUAAUACCGAAUAGUCCCUGCUGGUCGCAUGGCCUGGUGGGGGAAAGCUUUUGCGGUGUGGGAUGGGCCCGCGGCCUAUCAGCUUGUUGGUGGGGUGAUGGCCUACCAAGGCGACGACGGGUAGCCGGCCUGAGAGGGUGUCCGGCCACACUGGGACUGAGAUACGGCCCAGACUCCUACGGGAGGCAGCAGUGGGGAAUAUUGCACAAUGGGCGCAAGCCUGAUGCAGCGACGCCGCGUGGGGAUGACGGCCUUCGGGUUGUAAACCUCUUUCAGUACCGACGAAGCGUAAGUGACGGUAGGUACAGAAGAAGCACCGGCCAACUACGUGCCAGCAGCCGCGGUAAUACGUAGGGUGCGAGCGUUGUCCGGAAUUACUGGGCGUAAAGAGCUCGUAGGUGGUUUGUCGCGUUGUCCGUGAAAACUCACAGCUUAACUGUGGGCGUGCGGGCGAUACGGGCAGACUGGAGUACUGCANGGGAGACUGGAAUUCCUGGUUGUACGGUGGAAUGCGCAGAUAUCAGGAGGAACACCGGUGGCGAAGGCGGGUCUCUGGGCAGUAACUGACGCUGAGGAGCGAAAGCGUGGGGAGCGAACAGGAUUAGAUACCCUGGUAGUCCACGCCGUAAACGGUGGGUACUAGGUGUGGGUUCUUUCCUAAGGAUCCGUGCCGUAGCUAACGCAUUAAGUACCCCGCCUGGGGAGUACGGCCGCAAGGCUAAAACUCAAAGGAAUUGACGGGGGCCCGCACAAGCGGCGGAGCAUGUGGAUUAAUUCGAUGCAACGCGAAGAACCUUACCUGGGUUUGACAUGCACAGGACGCCGGCAGAGAUGUCAGUUCCCUUGUGGCCUGUGUGCAGGUGGUGCAUGGCUGUCGUCAGCUAGUGUCGUGAGAUGUUGGGUUAAGUCCCGCAACGAGCGCAACCCUUGUCUCAUGUUGCCAGCGCGUUAUGGCGGGGACUCGUGAGAGACUGCCGGGGUCAACUCGGAGGAAGGUGGGGAUGACGUCAAGUCAUCAUGCCCCUUAUGUCCAGGGCUUCACACAUGCUACAAUGGCCGGUACAAAGGGCUGCGAUGCCGUGAGGUGGAGCGAAUCCUUUCAAAGCCGGUCUCAGUUCGGAUCGGGGUCUGCAACUCGACCCCGUGAAGUCGGAGUCGCUAGUAAUCGCAGAUCAGCAACGCUGCGCAGAACGUUGGCGGGCCUUGACACACCGCCCGUCA
Molecule: ribosomal RNA, 1374 nt
Filed under: uncultured bacterium
Lineage: Bacteria
Description: 16S ribosomal RNA
Rfam family: Bacterial small subunit ribosomal RNA
Source: RNAcentral